AACGAACGCUGGCGGCAUGCCUAACACAUGCAAGUCGAACGAGCUCUUCGGAGCUAGUGGCGCACGGGUGCGUAACGCGUGGGAAUCUGCCCUUGGGUUCGGGAUAACAGUUGGAAACGACUGCUAAUACCGAAUGAUGACUUCGGUCCAAAGAUUUAUCGCCCAGGGAUGAGCCCGCGUCGGAUUAGCUAGUUGGUGGGAAAGCCGUAACCAGCGACGAUCCGUAGCUGGUCUGAGAGGAUGAUCAGCCACACUGGGACUGAGACACGGCCCA
Molecule: ribosomal RNA, 274 nt
Filed under: uncultured bacterium
Lineage: Bacteria
Description: partial 16S ribosomal RNA
Rfam family: Bacterial small subunit ribosomal RNA
Source: RNAcentral